UACCGCGUGAGUGAAGAGGCCUCUGGGUUGUAAAGCUCUUUUGUAGGGGAAGAUAAUGACUGUACCCUAAGAAUAAGGUCCGGCUAACUUCGUGCCAGCAGCCGCGGUAAUACGAAGGGACCUAGCGUAGUUCGGAAUUACUGGGCGUAAAGCGCGCGUAGGCCGUUGAGUUAGUUAAUUGUGAAAUCCCAAAGCUUAACUUUGGAACUGCAAUUAAAACUGCUCGACUAGAGUUUGAUAGAGGAAAGCGGAAUACAUAGUGUAGAGGUGAAAUUCGUAGAUAUUAUGUAGAACACCAGUUGCGAAGGCGGCUUUCUGGGUCAACACUGACGCUGAGGCGCGAAAGUAUGGGUAGCAAAGAGGAUUAGAUACCCUCGUAGUCCAUACCAUAAACGAUGAUUGCUAGAUGUUGGAAAUUUAUUUUCAGUAUCGCAGCUAACGCAUUAAGCAAUCCGCCUGGGGAGUACGACCGCAAGGUUAAAACUCAAAUGAAUUGACGGGGACCCGCACAAGCGGUGGAGCAUGUGGUUUAAUUCGAAGAUACGCGCAGAACCUUUACAACCCUUGACAUGUCUGUCGCGAGUUUAGGAAACUAGAACUUUCGGUUCG
This 609-nucleotide ribosomal RNA is filed under the name uncultured bacterium. RNAcentral's name for it is "bacterial SSU rRNA". It matches the Rfam family "Bacterial small subunit ribosomal RNA", at positions 395 to 1024 of the family's 1533-position model. The record is from RNAcentral.